AUGGGAGAGCCAUUGAGUGCCACCUCUUUGGUGGUACUAGCAUUGCUAAGCUGCCUAGCUACAAGAAAUGUGGAGGCUCAGGAUGCAAUGUGGAUGAAGCCUGCAUCAAAGGGUGCUCAACCUUCUCAGGUAACACAAGCCAAUCCUUUUCCACAGCCAGGACAACCUACAUUUCCUCAACCAGUGCCACAGCCAGGACUGCCUACAUAUCCUGGACAGCAAGGGAUCAACCCAGUGCCACAGACAGGACUGCCUACAUAUCCUAAACCAGUGCCACAGCCAGGACAGCCUACAUAUCCUGGACAACCUAACAUCAAACCAGCUCCGCAACCAAGACCCCCUACAUAUCCUACAAAUCCUGGACAACCUAACAUCAAACCAGCUCCGCAACCAAGACCCCCUACAUAUCCUACAUAUCCUGGACAACCUAACAUCAAACCAGCUCCACAACCAAAACCCCCUACAUAUCCUGGACAACCUAAUAUCCAACCACCUGCGCAACAAAGACCCUCUAUAUAUCCUGGACAACCUAAUAUCCACCCACCCUCAACAAAGACCCUCUACAUAUCCUGGACAACCUAAUAUCCAACCACCUGAACAUAGCAACAAAGACCCUACAUAUCCUGGACAACCUAAUAUCCACCACCUCACAAAGACCCUCUACAUAUCCUGGACAACCUAAUAUCCAACCACCUACGCAACAAAGACCCUCUACAUAUCCUGGACAACCUAAUAUCCAACCACCUACACAACAAAGACCCUCUACAUAUCCAUCACAAAAUCAAGUGUACUAUGACCAGUCUCGACAGGAGCCACAGAUCUCUCCACCACAGAAACCAGAAUACCAACCUCGCCCAGUGUUGCCAAAGGACCCUAAUGACUUGAGUUGUGAGGUGGACCGCAAUGUGAGGAUCCCAUGUGGAAGUCCUCAAAUCUCUGCUGCUGGAUGUGAAGCCAUAAACUGUUGCUUUGAUGGCCAACAGUGCUUCUUCGGAAAGGCUGUGACCAUCCAAUGUACAAAGGAUGCUCAGUUCAUUGUUGUCGUGGCCAGAGAUGCAACACUGCCCAACAUUGACCUUGAGUCAAUCUCAAUGUUGGGGGAAGGUCAAGGCUGUACACACGUUGACUCUAAUUCAGCCUUUGCCAUCUACCAGUUUGCAGUUACUGGCUGUGGCUCUGUUGUUUGGGAGGAGCCUGGGACUAUAGUCUACGAGAACCGUAUGUCAUCCUCAUUUGAGACGUUAGUAGGGGAAAGUGGAAUAAUUACCAGGGAUAGCCAGUUUGAAUUGACUUUCCAAUGCAGGUUUAGAGGCUCUUCUGUGGAAGUCUUGGUUGUGGAAGUAUUACCAUUACAAGAGCCUCCUUUACCUGUUGCUGCUUUUGGACCGAUCAGCGUACAAAUGAGGUUGGCUAACGGGCAGUGCUUAACAAAGGGUUGUAAUGAAGUGGAUGCAGCCUAUAGCUCUUUCUAUACGGAUGCAGACUACCCUGUGACCAAAGUACUGAGGGACCCAGUGUAUGUGGAGGUUCAGCUCCUUGAGAAGACAGAUCCAAACCUAGUCUUGACUCUUGGUCACUGUUGGACAACCACAAGCCUCAACCCUCACAGCCUGCCCCAGUGGGACAUUCUGAUAGAUGGGUGUCCAUACAGGGACGAUCGCUACUUGUCCUCACUGGUUCCAGUCGGUGUCUCCUCUGGUCUGAACUUCCCAAGUCACUACAGGCGUUUCAUUUUCAAAAUGUUUACAUUUGUGGACACCAGCACACUAACGCCCAUGAGGGAGCAGGUGUACAUCCACUGUAGUACAACUGUGUGCAGUGCCGCUUCUGGCAGUUGUGAGCCAUCAUGCUUUGCGAAAAACAGGAAAAGGAGAGACGUUGAAGCUACAUACCAGGUGAUGAAUGAACCAAAGGUUGUGGUGUCUUCUGGACCUGUGGACAUGUACUUCCCUGCAGAAACCAGCGAAGAAUGAGGAGCAUGAGCAUUUGGCUGAGACCAUUUAGUACAACAUCUAUAGCAUUAACAUGGUGCAGUUAUCUGUGGUGAGAAAUCAGACAUAUAUUGUGUGUAUGCCAACACAGUUUGCAACAGAAAGAAUGAAAUGUAUCGCCAAAGUCUUGUAGUCAAAUUUGUAUUAAAAAAAAUAUUGGCUUUUAUGUGCUGUAAAUAAUUUAUUUUGGGUAAAUUGGGUAAUUGUUUUUCAUUAACUGUCAGUGACAUCCUAAAAAAGAAUGAACCACUAGCAGUAAUAUUCAACUUUAAUUUGAAAAUAAUGUUUUCUUUGAAUGUUUGCUGAAACAAAAAUCCACUGAACUGUGUUGAUGUGAGUUUAGAAUUGAGUUAUUUUAAAUGUAAAGCUGAUAAAACACAACAUUCUUGUCAUCAUA
Solea senegalensis (Senegalese sole) is the source of this 2388-nucleotide RNA transcript. It is a transcript of the gene named zona pellucida sperm-binding protein 4-like, with no coding region annotated. The transcript has 9 exons. The record is from RefSeq and is a predicted model, not a curated record. Lineage: Eukaryota; Metazoa; Chordata; Actinopteri; Pleuronectiformes; Soleidae.